CCAGACUCCUACGGGAGGCAGCAGUGGGGGAUAUUGCACAAUGGGGGAAACCCUGAUGCAGCGACGCCGCGUGUGGGAAGACGGUCCUCUGGAUUGUAAACCACUGUCCCCAGGGACGAAAAUGACGGUACCUGACUAAGAAGCCCCGGCUAACUACGUGCCAGCAGCCGCGGUAAUACGUAGGGGGCAAGCGUUAUCCGGAUUUACUGGGUGUAAAGGGAGCGUAGACGGCUGUGCAAGCCAGAUGUGAAAGCCCGGGGCUCAACCCCGGGACUGCAUUUGGAACUGCGUGGCUUGAGUGUCGGAGAGGCAGGCGGAAUUCCUAGUGUAGCGGUGAAAUGCGUAGAUAUUAGGAAGAACACCAGUGGCGAAGGCGGCUUUCUGGACUGAAACUGACGCUGAGGCACGAAAGCGUGGGGAGCGAACAGGAUUAGAUACCCCUGUA
RNAcentral lists this ribosomal RNA (445 nucleotides) under uncultured bacterium. RNAcentral describes it as "bacterial SSU rRNA". It matches the Rfam family "Bacterial small subunit ribosomal RNA", at positions 331 to 792 of the family's 1533-position model. The record is from RNAcentral.